UAAGUACUAAAUAGANNNCCCAACANUAGUUGAUUACANUGAACAAGUUACUGUAGGGAUAACAGCGUAAUAUAUAUCUAAAGUUCUUAUUUUGAUAUAAGUUUGCGACCUCGAUGUUGAAUUNAUAUUACUUUCAAGCGCAAGAGCCUGAAAAGUGGGUCUGUUCGACCCCUAAAUAUAUACAUGAUUUGAGUUCAAAUCGGUGUAAACCAGAUUGGUUUCUAUCUAUUNUUAUUUGUGUCUUAGUACGAAAGGACCUGAAACAAUAUUAUAUAAUNAUUUAUAUGGCAGAAAAAUGCUUUAGAUUUAGGAUCUAAUUAUAAUAGAUUAUUAUACUCUAUUUAACUUGCCUAAUCUCUGUUAUUAGAAUCCUUAUCGCAGUAGCUUUUUAUACCCUCCUAGAGCGAAAAAUUCUA
Molecule: ribosomal RNA, 416 nt
Filed under: Sancus acoreensis
Lineage: Eukaryota; Metazoa; Arthropoda; Arachnida; Araneae; Tetragnathidae
Description: partial 16S ribosomal RNA
Rfam family: Bacterial large subunit ribosomal RNA (bases 1-227)
Source: RNAcentral